This 529-nucleotide ribosomal RNA is filed under the name Bifidobacterium breve. RNAcentral describes it as "bacterial SSU rRNA". It matches the Rfam family "Bacterial small subunit ribosomal RNA", at positions 158 to 700 of the family's 1533-position model. The record is from RNAcentral. Lineage: Bacteria; Bacillati; Actinomycetota; Actinomycetes; Bifidobacteriales; Bifidobacteriaceae.
GGGUGGUAAUGCCGGAUGCUCCAUCACACCGCAUGGUGUGUUGGGAAAGCCUUUGCGGCAUGGGAUGGGGUCGCGUCCUAUCAGCUUGAUGGCGGGGUAACGGCCCACCAUGGCUUCGACGGGUAGCCGGCCUGAGAGGGCGACCGGCCACAUUGGGACUGAGAUACGGCCCAGACUCCUACGGGAGGCAGCAGUGGGGAAUAUUGCACAAUGGGCGCAAGCCUGAUGCAGCGACGCCGCGUGAGGGAUGGAGGCCUUCGGGUUGUAAACCUCUUUUAUCAGGGAGCAAGGCUUCGGUUGAGUGUACCUGUUGAAUAAGCACCGGCUAACUACGUGCCAGCAGCCGCGGUAAUACGUAGGGUGCAAGCGUUAUCCGGAAUUAUUGGGCGUAAAGGGCUCGUAGGCGGUUCGUCGCGUCCGGUGUGAAAGUCCAUCGCUUAACGGUGGAUCCGCGCCGGGUACGGGCGGGCUUGAGUGCGGUAGGGGAGACUGGAAUUCCCGGUGUAACGGUGGAAUGUGUAGAUAUCGG